Molecule: ribosomal RNA, 413 nt
Filed under: uncultured bacterium
Lineage: Bacteria
Description: bacterial SSU rRNA
Rfam family: Bacterial small subunit ribosomal RNA
Source: RNAcentral
UGAGGAAUAUUGGUCAAUGGGCGCAAGCCUGAACCAGCCAUCCCGCGUGCAGGAAGACGGCCCUAUGGGUUGUAAACUGCUUUUCCAGGGGGAGAAUUUUUCUGUCGUGACAGGAAUUGACGGUACCCUGGGAAUAAGCAUCGGCUAACUCCGUGCCAGCAGCCGCGGUAAUACGGAGGAUGCGAGCGUUAUCCGGAUUUAUUGGGUUUAAAGGGUGCGUAGGCGGAUUGAUAAGUCAGUGGUGAAAACCUGCAGCUUAACUGUAGACUUGCCGUUGAUACUGUCAGUCUUGAGUGUGGUCAAGGUAGGCGGAAUGUGUAAUGUAGCGGUGAAAUGCUUAGAUAUUACACAGAACACCGAUUGCGAAGGCAGCUCACUGGGCCAUUACUGACGCUGAUGCACGAAAGCGUGGG